AGAGAGAGACAUGCGCGCAUAUCAAUAAGCGGAGGAAAAGAAACUAACUAGGAUUCCCUCAGUAACGGCGAGUGAAGCGGGAAGAGCUCAAAUUUGAAAUCUUCAAGGUUCUACCUUGACGAAUUGUAGUUUAAAGAAGUGUUUUCUGUUGGAGUUUUGGUAAAAGUUCUUUGGAAUAGGACAUCAUAGAGGGUGAGAAUCCCGUAUUUGACCAUUACUUUCAACUUUGUGAUACACUUUCAAAGAGUCGGAUUGUUUGGGAAUGCAGUUCAAAAUGGGUGGUAAAUUUCAUCUAAAGCUAAAUAUUGGCGAGAGACCGAUAGCGAACAAGUACCGUGAGGGAAAGAUGAAAAGAACUUUGAAAAGAGAGUUAAACAGUACGUGAAAUUGUCAAAAGGGAAGCGUUUGACACCAGUGUUGUUUUUCUGAAAAUCAAUUAAAGAACUGUUUAUGCUAAGUUGUUUAGACUUUAUCAGCUAACUGUUUAGUUUUGAGCUUUUCUUUAAUGCACUUUUCAGUUAACAAGUCAACAUCAAUUUCUUUUGCUGUAAAAAAGCUUGAGGAAGGUGGCUUGAGAUUCGUCUUAAGUGUUUAUAGCCUCUUGCCUAUGCAGUCGGAGAGAUUGAGGUCUGCAGCGUAGAUCCUUCGGGGCUAAAUGCAUUUGUGCUAAGUUAUAGCAUUUUAUAGACAACUUGUUGACUAUGAUUUGUCUUGUAGCUUACUCGCUUAUGUUAUUUUACCUACGCUUAGGAUGUUGAGCGCAUGUCUCUCUCU
RNAcentral lists this ribosomal RNA (774 nucleotides) under uncultured Neocallimastigales. RNAcentral's name for it is "partial large subunit ribosomal RNA". It matches the Rfam family "Eukaryotic large subunit ribosomal RNA", at positions 23 to 616 of the family's 3401-position model. The record is from RNAcentral. Lineage: Eukaryota; Fungi; Neocallimastigomycota; Neocallimastigomycetes; Neocallimastigales.